AUCUCGAUCCUUUGUAUAACUAUACAAUACAAAUUUAGAUACAAAUAUUACACAUCUUCACCGACCGUUUCUAGAGCAAGUGGCAAAGGGUUUGGUGGUUGGUACCCGAGAUCCAAGUUUGAAUCCUAGUUGAUUCACAUUUCUAGCUAAAUUUAUUUCUAAAUGAAAUAAACGAAGCGGGUAGCAUGCUACCUAUCUCUCAAAAAAAAAAAGUACACAUCUUCUAUAUAUAUAUAAUAUAAAACCAACAACCAAAAAAAAAGUAUAUAAAGAAAAA
RNAcentral lists this long non-coding RNA (277 nucleotides) under Ananas comosus (pineapple). Its description in RNAcentral is "long non-coding RNA (ACOM_LNC018718)". The record is from RNAcentral. Lineage: Eukaryota; Viridiplantae; Streptophyta; Magnoliopsida; Poales; Bromeliaceae.